AUUCCCCUGCAGUCCAUACAUCCCCAGCCCGUGCACCUUCUCAUCCUCCUCUUCACCGGAGUACCCCUUUGAGUAUCUAUUACCAGCAUCAGGUGAAACUAAGGAAGUGACGCCAGUGGAACGCAUGGUGGAUCGGUGGAGCGCAUUGCAUGUCAGGUGAUUCAGUACUAGCCGGAAGCUGCGUGACUAAAGAGAGGGAUCAUGUGACUAUAUCGGAAGUACAGAGAGACACCGGGAACUGGAUGGAGCGCGGAGAGCUUUUGGUAUCUCCAUAAUUUUUGAGGAUCGCUAAAGUCCAAAAAAGAAUAAAAAGAUUUACCGAAUGUACCUGAAUACUAAAUGUAUCCGAAAAAUAAGACUGAACACCCCAAUACCGAAUGUAUCCGAAAAAUCAAAACCGAAAAUAUUACCCAACCGAAAAAUGUUUCCAAAACGAAAAAAUUAAAUGAAACGAAACGAAAAUGUUUCUAGUGCACAAGUCUACUGCUGACACAUUCUAUGUUUCUAUAAAAUAAUGA
Molecule: long non-coding RNA, 518 nt
Organism: Hyla sarda
Lineage: Eukaryota; Metazoa; Chordata; Amphibia; Anura; Hylidae
Exons: 3
Source: RefSeq, a predicted model, not a curated record